CCUACGGGAGGCUGCAGUGAGGAAUCUUGGUCAAUGGGCGCGAGCCUGAACCAGCCAAGUAGCGUGAAGGAUGACUGCCCUACGGGUUGUAAACUUCUUUUAUAAAGGAAUAAAGUGAGGCACGUGUGCCUUUUUGUAUGUACUUUAUGAAUAAGGAUCGGCUAACUUCGUGACAGCAGCCGCGGUAAUACGGAGGAUCCGAGCGUUAUCCGGAUUUAUUGGGUUUAGAGGGAGCGCAGAUGGGCUGUUAAGUCAGUUGUGAAAGUAUGCGGCUCAACCGUAAAAUUGCAAUUGAUACUGGCAGUCUUGAGUGCAGAUGAGGUGGGCGGAAUUCGAGGUGUAGCGGUGAAAUGCGUAGAUAUCACGAAGAACCCCGAUUGCGAAGGCAGCUUACUAAACUGUGACUGACAUUGAUGCUCGAAAGUGUGGGUAUCAAACAGGAUUAGAUACCCGAGUAGUC
This 460-nucleotide ribosomal RNA is filed under the name uncultured bacterium. Its description in RNAcentral is "partial 16S ribosomal RNA". It matches the Rfam family "Bacterial small subunit ribosomal RNA", at positions 338 to 795 of the family's 1533-position model. The record is from RNAcentral.